ACUUGAGCUCACUUGUCACAAUGGAAUUCAAUUAUCUGCUGGAGAGAAGCCCUGACAGCUGUGGCGUAGGUUUUUCAAUGUGAUGUUGCCUGGAUCGCAAGAAAAAUAUCAAGGGCUGGUGAGAACAGCCAUGUUCUAAAAGCAUCUCCGCCUGGGUUAGACCACUGCCUACCAAAGAGGGCGUAAGUUGGAAGCACAGUGUUUGUUUACCACAUUGCCCCUGGGUUUGCCUCUGGCUUGUGCAUCCUGGGGGAGAGGCAGUGGGUCUGCUGCUGGUUCCUCAAACAUUGACAUCUGUGAUGGCCUUCUGUAGUGAAAGCAUUUUCCUAGCAGCAGCAUCAGGAUCCAGGAACAUUGUCCCUCAACCACUGUGGGAAAUCUGUGAGAGCCAAGCUGCACCACACCAGAGGCUAACAUGCAUGUCUUUUGGGAAAUCCUG
Passer montanus (Eurasian tree sparrow) is the source of this 439-nucleotide long non-coding RNA. RefSeq lists it as uncharacterized. NCBI's taxonomy places the organism in Eukaryota, Metazoa, Chordata, Aves, Passeriformes, Passeridae. The record is from RefSeq and is a predicted model, not a curated record. The transcript has 3 exons.